GUCGAGCGGUAACAGGGGGAGCUUGCUCCCCGCUGACGAGCGGCGGACGGGUGAGUAAUGCAUAGGAAACUGCCCAGUAGUGGGGGAUAGCCCGGGGAAACCCGGAUUAAUACCGCAUACGCCCUUCGGGGGAAAGCAGGGGAUCUUCGGACCUUGCGCUAUUGGAUGUGCCUAUGUCGGAUUAGCUAGUUGGUGGGGUAAGAGCCUACCAAGGCGACGAUCCGUAGCUGGUCUGAGAGGAUGAUCAGCCACAUCGGGACUGAGACACGGCCCGAACUCCUACGGGAGGCAGCAGUGGGGAAUAUUGGACAAUGGGGGCAACCCUGAUCCAGCCAUGCCGCGUGUGUGAAGAAGGCUUUCGGGUUGUAAAGCACUUUCAGUGAGGAGGAAAACCUUACGACUAAUACUCGUGAGGCUUGACGUUACUCACAGAAGAAGCACCGGCUAACUCCGUGCCAGCAGCCGCGGUAAUACGGAGGGUGCAAGCGUUAAUCGGAAUUACUGGGCGUAAAGCGCGCGUAGGUGGUUUGAUAAGCGAGAUGUGAAAGCCCCGGGCUCAACCUGGGAACGGCAUUUCGAACUGUCAGGCUAGAGUAUGGUAGAGGAGUGUGGAAUUUCCUGUGUAGCGGUGAAAUGCGUAGAUAUAGGAAGGAACACCAGUGGCGAA
Molecule: ribosomal RNA, 667 nt
Filed under: uncultured bacterium
Lineage: Bacteria
Description: bacterial SSU rRNA
Rfam family: Bacterial small subunit ribosomal RNA
Source: RNAcentral